UGAACGCUGGCGGCGUGCCUAACACAUGCAAGUCGAACGAACCUUGGGGAACAGAUUACUUCGGAAUGACGAUUUGGUGACUGAGUGGCGGACGGGUGAGUAACGCGUGGGUAACCUGCCUUAUACAGGGGGAUAACAGUUGAAACGGCUGCUAAUACCGCAUAAGCACACAGGGUCGCAUGACCUGGUGUGAAAAACUCCGGUGGUAUGAGAUGGACCCGCGUUGGAUUAGCUGGUUGGUGAGGUAACGGCCCACCAAGGCGACGAUGCAUAGCCGGCCUGAGAGGGUGAACGGCCACAUUGGGACUGAGACGCGGCCCAAAACUCCUACGGGAGGCAGCAGUAGGGAAUUUUCGUCAAUGGGGGCAACCCUGAACGAGCAAUGCCGCGUGAGUGAGGAAGGUCUUCGGAUCGUAAAGCUCUGUUGCAGGAGAAAAACGGCAGAUAUAGGAAAUGAUAUCUGAGUGAUGGUAACCUGCCAGAAAGUCACGGCUAACUACGUG
RNAcentral lists this ribosomal RNA (503 nucleotides) under uncultured bacterium. Its description in RNAcentral is "bacterial SSU rRNA". It matches the Rfam family "Bacterial small subunit ribosomal RNA", at positions 30 to 507 of the family's 1533-position model. The record is from RNAcentral.